Molecule: long non-coding RNA, 593 nt
Filed under: Zea mays
Lineage: Eukaryota; Viridiplantae; Streptophyta; Magnoliopsida; Poales; Poaceae
Description: drought-responsive long non-coding RNA
Source: RNAcentral
GCAGCAUAUCAAUAUCAUGCAGCAUAGCAGUACUCAGACCCUUACUACGCAGGCGUUGUUGCUCCCUAUGGAAGUCAAGAUGUGUGUCCGAGGAGCCUGUCUAUGUGAACGCCAAGCAGUACCGCGGCAUUCUAAGACGGCGGCAGUCACGUGCCAAGGCCGAGCUUGAGAGAAAGCGCUGGUCAAAGCAAGAAAGCCGUAUCUUCACGAGUCCCCGUCAUCAGCACGCGAUGACGAGGAGGGCGAGAGGGAACGGUGGACGCUUCCUAAACACGAAGAAGAGUGACCGUGUCCCUCCUGAUGACUUGAUACAGCUACGACGACACAACGAGGCUUGAAGAGGUAGCGGUCUGGCUGGCAUCCUAGAGCAGCGGUUUCUGUCCACAGGCACGUGCAUCUGAGACCGGAUCCGUAGCUCCACUCCACAGCAUAUGCGCAGCCCAUCCAUCUCGUGCACACUUGUGUAGCUGCUGUGUUGUAACUUGUAAGUGGAAAACUGAGCUUGUGUCCGAUUGCUAUACACAACCUAAGUUUCCUGUGACCUAGCUCUGAUGUGGCUCUGAUUGAACUGCACCAAAUCAUAUGAAAUCCCU